This is a long non-coding RNA of Stegodyphus dumicola, 319 nucleotides long. The record is from RefSeq and is a predicted model, not a curated record. NCBI's taxonomy places the organism in Eukaryota, Metazoa, Arthropoda, Arachnida, Araneae, Eresidae.
GGCUGUUGGGAAAAUAAAUGAGAGGGAAGGCAUAAUAUUCAAAUGGCUACUUCCCAUCAUUUAUUUUUAUAGUGAGAACUGGAUUCAUUGAAUGAAAAAUCUACCUCUAAUGAAAUUCGAGGAAAUGAGUGUUUCGUAUUAGAAGCAAAUAUUGUCGCCAAUCUGUCUCAGGAAGAGCAGAACGUUUACGAGUAGCGCAUGUGCGUUAGAGUCUUUCUCUAAAUGCCUCGUUAUAAGAACCAAUCUGAACGUAAUAAACUGACCUCGAUUUAUCCAUUUUUAAGCUGAUGUAGCUUGAUGCAAGAGUCUUGCAGCUCCA